ACUAGCAUAUCAAUAAGCGGAGGAAAAGAAACCAACAGGGAUUGCCUUUAGUAACGGCGAGUGAAGCGGCAACAGCUCAAAUUUGAAAGCUGGCUCCUUCGGAGUCCGCGUUGUAAUUUGUAGAGGAUGAUUCGGCGAGGGCUCCCGCCUAAGUCCCCUGGAACGGGGCGUCAUAGAGGGUGAGAAUCCCGUAUGCGGUGGGUUGCCUUAGCCAUGUGAAUCUCCUUCGACGAGUCGAGUUGUUUGGGAAUGCAGCUCUAAAUGGGAGGUAAAUUUCUUCUAAAGCUAAAUACCGGCCAGAGACCGAUAGCGCACAAGUAGAGUGAUCGAAAGAUGAAAAGCACUUUGGAAAGAGAGUUAAAAAGUACGUGAAAUUGUUGAAAGGGAAGCGCUUGCAGCCAGACUUGUCCGCAGUUGCUCAACCGGUCUCCUGACCGGUGUACUCUUCUGCGGCCAGGCCAGCAUCAGUUCGGGCGGUCGGAUAAAGGCCCUGGGAAUGUAGCUCCUCUCGGGGAGUGUUAUAGCCCAGGGUGGAAUGCGGCCAGCCUGGACUGAGGAUCUCGCUUCGGCUAGGAUGCUGGCGUAAUGGCUGUAAGCGGCCCGUCUUGAAACACGGACCAAGGAGUCUAACAUCUAUGCGAGUGUUUGGGUGUCAAACCCAUGCGCGUAAUGAAAGUGAACGGAGGUGGGAACCCUCACGGGUGCACCAUCGACCGAUCCUGAUGUCUUCGGAUGGAUUUGAGUAAGAGCAUAGCUGUUGGGACCCGAAAGAUGGUGAACUAUGCCUGAAUAGGGUGAAGCCAGAGGAAACUCUGGUGGAGGCUCGCAGCGGUUCUGACGUGCAAAUCGAUCGUCAAAUUUGGGUAUAGGGGCGACCGACUAAUCGAACCAUCUAGUAGCUGGUUCCUGCCGAU
Molecule: ribosomal RNA, 914 nt
Filed under: Macrophomina phaseolina
Lineage: Eukaryota; Fungi; Ascomycota; Dothideomycetes; Botryosphaeriales; Botryosphaeriaceae
Description: LSU rRNA
Rfam family: Eukaryotic large subunit ribosomal RNA
Source: RNAcentral